UACGUAGGGGGAAAGCGUUGUCCGGAUUUACUGGGUGUAAAGGGUGCUCAGGUGGUCUGAUAAGUCAGGGGUGAAAUCCUGGAGCUCAACUCCAGAACUGCCUUUGAUACUGGAGAGCUUGAGUCCGGAAGAGGUGAGUGGAACUCCGAGUGUAGAGGUGAAAUUCGUAGAUAUUCGGAAGAACACCAGUGGCGAAGGCGGCUCACUGGUCCGGUACUGACGCUGAUGUGCGAAAGCGUGGGGAGCAAACAGG
RNAcentral lists this ribosomal RNA (253 nucleotides) under uncultured bacterium. RNAcentral's name for it is "partial 16S ribosomal RNA". It matches the Rfam family "Bacterial small subunit ribosomal RNA", at positions 524 to 776 of the family's 1533-position model. The record is from RNAcentral.